UUAAAUUGAAGAGUUUGAUCAUGGCUCAGAUUGAACGCUGGCGGCAGGCCUAACACAUGCAAGUCGAACGGUAACAGGAAACAGCUUGCUGUUUCGCUGACGAGUGGCGGACGGGUGAGUAAUGUCUGGGAAACUGCCUGAUGGAGGGGGAUAACUACUGGAAACGGUAGCUAAUACCGCAUAACGUCGCAAGACCAAAGAGGGGGACCUUCGGGCCUCUUGCCAUCGGAUGUGCCCAGAUGGGAUUAGCUAGUAGGUGGGGUAACGGCUCACCUAGGCGACGAUCCCUAGCUGGUCUGAGAGGAUGACCAGCCACACUGGAACUGAGACACGGUCCAGACUCCUACGGGA
Molecule: ribosomal RNA, 351 nt
Filed under: Escherichia coli
Lineage: Bacteria; Pseudomonadati; Pseudomonadota; Gammaproteobacteria; Enterobacterales; Enterobacteriaceae
Description: bacterial SSU rRNA
Rfam family: Bacterial small subunit ribosomal RNA
Source: RNAcentral